This 691-nucleotide long non-coding RNA is filed under the name Equus asinus (donkey). RNAcentral describes it as "lncRNA (ENSEASG00005028923.1)". The record is from RNAcentral. Lineage: Eukaryota; Metazoa; Chordata; Mammalia; Perissodactyla; Equidae.
GGAAUCUUUCCUCUGAUCCUCCCCGUCUUAUGCCUCUCACCGUCUUGAACAGCGAGUACUAGGUGUGAGAAUAUGCAGGUAAAUAGGAGGAGGGGCUGAGUCCAAGGCUUUUCACCCAGCGAGUGUUGUGCUUCAAGGAGGCUGGACCAGUUCUCCAGUUCCAGCAACAACGAGGGUGGGUGGUCCCCCUCACCGCCAGGUGCUCUUCUGCCUCCUCCCCCAAUUACAAAGACCCUCAUGAUUACACUGGGCCCACCUGGACGAUGCAGGCUACAUAUGCUCGCUCUCUUAAGUAGGUCAUGGACCUCUUUUGAGGGCCAUUAUUCUGCCAACUGCAGCCUCCCAGAGGAGGUGACACUUGGGCUGAGACCAGACGUGCCACGCACAGAGCCAGGGAAGGAGAGUUCUGACAUCAGGAGCAAUGAGUGGAUGGCUGAGGAGCCCAGCUAGAGAUGAAGGACAGACUACCUCUAGAUUCGUCUCUGAUGUGACGGUGGAGCCCGUGGCACCAGCAAGUGCAAACACCGGGUGACGUUGCUGAGCUCGCAGCGCAAACACGGCAGCCGGCCAUUCAUCUCAAGUCAAACCUACGGCUGUGGGACAAGGGGACAUGUGCCUCUCCAGCACCUGUUUUAAAAAUGCUUGGCGUUGCUGAUUACUUCCUGUUUCUGGACCAUCCUCAGCCUUGUUU